UUUAUUUAAUGGCUGCAGUAUAUUAACUGUACAAAGGUAGCAUAAUUAUUUGUUUAUUAAUUUUAGACUAGUAUGAAAGGUUUAAUAAAAUAUAUAUUUUCUUAAUAAUAAGCUUUUGAAUUUAAUUUAUAAGUUAAAAAGCUUAUCUAUUUUUAUAGGACGAGAAGACCCUAUAGAAUUUAAUAUAUAAACUAUAAAUUUUAUAUUUUAUAUAUUAUGCUGGGGAGGUAAUUAUACUUGAAACUAUAAAAUAUUAUAUAUUCAUUAAUUUAUGUAUUAUUUGAUCCAUGAAGGUUUGAUUAUUAGAAUAAAUUACCUUAGGGAUAACAGCGUUAUUUAGUUGGAAAGUUCUUAUUGAUAAUUAA
RNAcentral lists this ribosomal RNA (365 nucleotides) under Kokeshia sp. UCR ENT 00063170. RNAcentral's name for it is "partial large subunit ribosomal RNA". The record is from RNAcentral. Lineage: Eukaryota; Metazoa; Arthropoda; Insecta; Hemiptera; Schizopteridae.